RNAcentral lists this ribosomal RNA (404 nucleotides) under uncultured bacterium. Its description in RNAcentral is "partial 16S ribosomal RNA". It matches the Rfam family "Bacterial small subunit ribosomal RNA", at positions 28 to 526 of the family's 1533-position model. The record is from RNAcentral.
GAUGAACGCCGGCGGCGUGCCUAAUACAUGCAAGUCGAGCGAAGCGGGGACGGGGUAGUAACACGUGGAUAACCUCCUAUAAGACUGGGAUAACUUCGGGAAACCGAGCUAAGCCGGAUACUUAUAGAUGGAACCGCGAUGCCUUCGCUAGUUGGUAAGGUAACGGCUUACCAGGUCAACGAUGCAUAGCCGACCUGAGAGGGUGAUCGGCCACACUGGAACUGAGACACGGUCCAUACUCCUACGGGAGGCAGCAGGAGGGAAUCUUCCGCAAUGGGCGAAAGCCUGACGGAGCAACGCCGCGUGAGUGAUGAAGUUCUUCGGAUCGUAAAACUCUGUUAUUAGGGAAGCGGGACCUAAUCAGAAAGCCACGGCUAACUACGUGCCAGCAGCCGCGGUAAUUC